RNAcentral lists this ribosomal RNA (433 nucleotides) under uncultured bacterium. RNAcentral's name for it is "bacterial SSU rRNA". It matches the Rfam family "Bacterial small subunit ribosomal RNA", at positions 355 to 786 of the family's 1533-position model. The record is from RNAcentral.
UGAGGAAUAUUGGUCAAUGGCCGAGAGGCUGAACCAGCCAAGUCGCGUGAAGGAUGAAGGAUCUAUGGUUUGUAAACUUCUUUUAUAGGGGAAUAAAGUGCGGCACGUGUGCCGUUUUGUAUGUACCCUAUGAAUAAGCAUCGGCUAACUCCGUGCCAGCAGCCGCGGUAAUACGGAGGAUGCGAGCGUUAUCCGGAUUUAUUGGGUUUAAAGGGUGCGUAGGCGGUCUGUUAAGUCAGCGGUAAAAUUGCGGGGCUCAACCUCGCCGAGCCGUUGAAACUGGUAGACUCGAGUGGGCGAGAAGUACGCGGAAUGCGUGGUGUAGCGGUGAAAUGCAUAGAUAUCACGCAGAACUCCGAUUGCGAAGGCAGCGUACCGGCGCCCAACUGACGCUGAAGCACGAAGGCGUGGGUAUCGAACAGGAUUAGAUACC